CAGUCGCCACGGUAAUACGUAGGUGGCAAGCGUUAUCCGGAAUUAUUGGGCGUAAAGCGCGCGUAGGCGGUUUCUUAAGUCUGAUGUGAAAGCCCACGGCUCAACCGUGGAGGGUCAUUGGAAACUGGGAAACUUGAGUGCAGAAGAGGAAAGUGGAAUUCCAUGUGUAGCGGUGAAAUGCGCAGAGAUAUGGAGGAACACCAGUGGCGAAGGCGACUUUCUGGUCUGUAACUGACGCUGAUGUGCGAAAGCGUGGGGAUCAAACAGGAUUAGAUACCCCCGUAGUCCCUGUCUCUUAUCU
This 301-nucleotide ribosomal RNA is filed under the name uncultured bacterium. RNAcentral's name for it is "partial 16S ribosomal RNA". It matches the Rfam family "Bacterial small subunit ribosomal RNA", at positions 509 to 809 of the family's 1533-position model. The record is from RNAcentral.